GAUGAAGAACGUAGCGAAAUGCGAUAAGUAAUGUGAAUUGCAGAAUUCAGUGAAUCAUCGAAUCUUUGAACGCACAUUGCGCCCGCCAGUAUUCUGGCGGGCAUGCCUGUUCGAGCGUCAUUUCAACCAUCAAGCCCCAGGCUUGUGUUGGGGACCUGCGGCUGCCGCAGGCCCUGAAAACCAGUGGCGGGCUCGCUGUCACACCGGGCGUAGUAGAUUUUAUCUCGCUCAGGGCGUGCUGCGGGUUCCGGCCGUUAAAAAGCCUUUUUUAACCAAGGUUGACCUCGGAUCAGGUAGGAAGACCCGCUGAACUUAAGCAUAUCAAUAAGCGGAGGA
This 336-nucleotide unclassified non-coding RNA is filed under the name soil metagenome. RNAcentral's name for it is "partial contains 5.8S ribosomal RNA, internal transcribed spacer 2, and large subunit ribosomal RNA". The stretch from base 1 to 120 matches the Rfam family "5.8S ribosomal RNA", at positions 35 to 154 of the family's 154-position model. The record is from RNAcentral.